CCUACGGGGGGCAGCAGUGGGGAAUAUUGCACAAUGGGCGCAAGCCUGAUGCAGCCAUGCCGCGUGUGUGAAGAAGGCCUUCGGGUUGUAAAGCACUUUCAGCGGGGAGGAAGGCGUUAAGGUUAAUAACCUUGGCGAUUGACGUUACCCGCAGAAGAAGCACCGGCUAACUCCGUGCCAGCAGCCGCGGUAAUACGGAGGGUGCAAGCGUUAAUCGGAAUUACUGGGCGUAAAGCGCACGCAGGCGGCCUGUCAAGUCGGAUGUGAAAUCCCCGGGCUCAACCUGGGAACUGCAUUUGAAACUGGCAGGCUAGAGUCUUGUAGAGGGGGGUAGAAUUCCAGGUGUAGCGGUGAAAUGCGUAGAGAUCUGGAGGAAUACCGGUGGCGAAGGCGGCCCCCUGGACAAAGACUGACGCUCAGGUGCGAAAGCGUGAGGAGCAAACAGGAUUAGAUACCCUGGUAGUC
RNAcentral lists this ribosomal RNA (465 nucleotides) under uncultured Klebsiella sp. RNAcentral's name for it is "bacterial SSU rRNA". It matches the Rfam family "Bacterial small subunit ribosomal RNA", at positions 338 to 795 of the family's 1533-position model. The record is from RNAcentral. Lineage: Bacteria; Pseudomonadati; Pseudomonadota; Gammaproteobacteria; Enterobacterales; Enterobacteriaceae.